UACGUAGGGUGCGAGCGUUGUCCGGAUUUAUUGGGCGUAAAGAGCUCGUAGGCGGUUUGUCGCGUCGGCCGUGAAAUCUCCACGCUUAACGUGGAGCGUGCGGUCGAUACGGGCAGACUUGAGUUCGGUAGGGGAGACUGGAAUUCCUGGUGUAGCGGUGAAAUGCGCAGAUAUCAGGAGGAACACCGGUGGCGAAGGCGGUGGUCUGGGCCGGCACUGACGCUGAGGAGCGAAAGCGUGGGUAGCAAACAGG
Molecule: ribosomal RNA, 253 nt
Filed under: uncultured bacterium
Lineage: Bacteria
Description: partial 16S ribosomal RNA
Rfam family: Bacterial small subunit ribosomal RNA
Source: RNAcentral